Lathyrus oleraceus (garden pea) is the source of this 732-nucleotide long non-coding RNA. RefSeq lists it as uncharacterized. The transcript is spliced from 2 exons. The record is from RefSeq and is a predicted model, not a curated record. Lineage: Eukaryota; Viridiplantae; Streptophyta; Magnoliopsida; Fabales; Fabaceae.
GCAUCCAAUGCAAUCAAUGCCAUUAAAACACACUAAUUGGGCAAUUAACGCACAUGCAAUAAAGAAUAUGAGGUGAAUAUUAAAACUCAUAGUAACGUUUGAAUCACGCACUUUCCCCCCCUCGAUUAACAUAGUCCUCUCACUACUACUCCCUCCUCCGUGCCGGAGGCGGUCCUCGUCGGCAAAGGUUCUCAAGAAAAUAAAUCAGCACCAUCACUCCCCUUAAAAUUACGUCUUGAUCACGAAUCUAUAACAAAAACUUCCUAACUGUGUAAGAAUCAAGCGAAUCAACAUGGAAUCUCCACGAACCCUAAUGUUGGAAACUUAAAUUAAAUGGAAACGAAGGUGAACCAAGCCACCACACGUCGGGUCUUCGAUUCCCCUCGUGCAACUCUACAACUUGGUAACUUCAAAAUGCGAAAAAGGAAGAAAAAUAUUAGAGUUUUAUCGAAAUUUCGCCGGCGUCAGAUAUGCAGAGCUUGCUUGGACAAUGGAUUUGGGAUGGAACUGCUUGGGAUAUAUUAUGUACACCAAUAGGCUAUGAUUGGAAUGCAAUUUUGGAUUAUUGUAUUGAAAUGGUUCCAUGUAUUUGUGUUUGUUUUGAGGGUUGAAAUUGGAAUGUCUGGUAUGAAUUCUGAAAUUGGAAAUUGAUGGUUGAAUAUAUGAAAUUUGUAAUGUAUGUACUUGUAGGUUUGAAAAUUGCCUUAAAAGGGUUUAUAAUUUAGAAUGAAA